Molecule: unclassified non-coding RNA, 22 nt
Filed under: Trichinella spiralis
Lineage: Eukaryota; Metazoa; Nematoda; Enoplea; Trichinellida; Trichinellidae
Description: trans-spliced leader SL-10
Source: RNAcentral
GGUAAUAUUUACUGAAUUCAAG